Molecule: ribosomal RNA, 262 nt
Filed under: Chrysochromulina rotalis
Lineage: Eukaryota; Haptophyta; Prymnesiales; Chrysochromulinaceae
Description: partial Bacterial small subunit ribosomal RNA
Rfam family: Bacterial small subunit ribosomal RNA
Source: RNAcentral
GCAAGUCGCACGGGCAGCAACGUCAGUGGCGGACGGGUGAGUAUCGCGUAGGAAUGUAUCCUGAGGUGGGGGACAACCCUGGGAAACUGGGGCUAAUACCGCAUAUGGACUGAGGUCCAAAGCCGUGAGGCGCCUUGGGAGCAGCCUGCGUCCGAUUAGGUAGUUGGUGGGGUAAAGGCCUACCAAGCCUGCGAUCGGUAGCUGGUCUGAGAGGACGAUCAGCCACACUGGGACUGAGGCACGGCCCAGACUCCUCCGGGAG